GUUACAAUCAUUUGGAGUAUUAGAUUUGUUUCCCUUGCACACCAGAGGUGCCGACAAACAUGCUGUUCACAUUUUAAUUACAAUGUGUUGGAGCAGACUCCAUUAAUUAAUGGAGUCUCUGCGUUCUAAUUAGAACACUCCAGCAUCACCUCACCAUCAUGUGUAUUAACCGCCCCCCCCCAAACACCACAUUUUAAAAUGGCCACAGGGACACUUUAACUAAAGCUUGUCAAAUGAGCUUUAGUUAAAGUAUGCCCACAACCAUUUUAAAACACAGGGGGCUUAAUAUAUGUGAUGGUGAGCCAUUUUAAUUAGAGUGGCUGUUGGGGAACAGCUGUAAUUAAAACGCCUCCUCCCCACCCCCAAGCACAUGUAUAGGCACCCCCAGAAGCUCCAGGAUAGAUUCUGGAGCUAUCUAUACCACUUCUGGUAUCUGAGCUGACUUAUUGAGAAUUAUGUCAUAUAAUGCCCAACAAGCAAAUGCAAAGCAGUACUGUAGAUAUAUCUCUUAGUGUUCCAGAGAGAGAAAAACACAGCUCCUUACUAUACUUUCCCUAGAGCUGUGCCAGCCAGGCCCAAAUCAGCUAUAAAGGCCCAGUUUUCAAACAAGCUCACUUCCUAAUAAGAUACCAAAAUCACUAUCCAGAUUUCUCAGAGCAUUUUACUGAAAAUCUGUCCAAAAGGAGUUAUUGUUUGCUGGGCAUUUGUGGAAAUGUAGGGGCCUGCAUAGGAGCUUUGUCUUCUCUUUUUUUUUAAAAAAAGGGCCCUAAUUAUGGGCUCUAACCAUUUGAAAAUCUAGCCUUAACUUCUUUUGAAAAUAUUGUCCUAAAUGAGCAAAUCUGAAAACCCUUUCUUUAAAAGCCGCUCUGAGCCUUUUUGGAUAAUGUGGGAUAUGCAUCUAAAAAUCAACUAACUAAAAAAUAAAUAAAUGAAUAUAUAUUAUUUCAGAAGCAGCACUGAAAAUAUUAGCAGCGUCUGUGUCAAACAUGCAAAGUCAAGUGCAACUAAAAAGCUAAUACAGGAGGCAGUGAGCGAGAUACUAGGAGAGGAAGAGAGAGGUAAAGAUCUCCUUUUGGGCUGCACAUGCUUGAAUUGUGGAGGCUAUAUUAUCUACAUUUAUACUGUUAUAAUUAUUAAAAGGCUGAUCCCUCCACUCCUCAUUACCUCACCUCACCUCACCUCUGCCUGCCUCUCAUUGCACACUUGCCUUUACCUCUGGUGUCUGUCUGCUUAACUUCUAAAAUGCUAAACAAGUUUUGAUAUUUACCUGUUUAUGAUUAAAUUGCAAAAUGAUCUUCUUAGUUCUGUUCUAAAUUAAGGUCUGCAUUAAAUGUCAUAGCAUUUAUCUUUCAUAAAAUGAGACAGCAAGGACACUAAUUUCCUAGGUAUUCAAUCACUGCCCUGUGCCACUUGAGAGGCAGCUUGGGAAUGAGCCUGCCCACAGUUCACAGCUCACUGACAGCACUGAGAUGGAAUCAUAAAAGUCAAUUAAUCAUUAAAAGCUGUUACAAGCACAUAUCGAACCAGUCUGGCACAAAAUGUUAAUCAGUCCAAUAUCAAUAUAAUAAAUUCCUGCAAAUUGGAGCGAUCA
This is a long non-coding RNA of Crocodylus porosus (Australian saltwater crocodile), 1591 nucleotides long. NCBI's taxonomy places the organism in Eukaryota, Metazoa, Chordata, Crocodylia, Crocodylidae. The record is from Ensembl.